This 722-nucleotide ribosomal RNA is filed under the name Erinacellus dendroides. Its description in RNAcentral is "SSU rRNA". It matches the Rfam family "Eukaryotic small subunit ribosomal RNA", at positions 117 to 848 of the family's 1831-position model. The record is from RNAcentral. Lineage: Eukaryota; Fungi; Ascomycota; Lecanoromycetes; Peltigerales.
UAAUUUGAUAGUACCUUGCUACUUGGAUACCUGUGGUAAUUCUAGAGCUAAUACAUGCUAAAAACCCCAACUUCGGAAGGGGUGUAUUAAUUAAAUAAAAAACCAAUGCCCUCCGGGGCUCCUGGGUGAUUCAUAAUAACUCAACGAAUCGCAUGGCCUUGCGCCGGCGAUGGUUCAUUCAAAUUUCUGCCCUAUCAACUUUCGAUGGUAGGAUAGUGGCCUACCAUGGUUUCAACGGGUAACGGGGAAUUAGGGUUCUAUUCCGGAGAGGGAGCCUGAGAAACGGCUACCACAUCCAAGGAAGGCAGCAGGCGCGCAAAUUACCCAAUCCCGACACGGGGAGGUAGUGACAAUAAAUACUGAUACAGGGCUCUUUUGGGUCUUGUAAUUGAAAUGAGUACAAUUUAAAUCCCUUAACGAGGAACAAUUGGAGGGCAAGUCUGGUGCCAGCAGCCGCGGUAAUUCCAGCUCCAAUAGCGUAUAUUAAAGUUGUUGCAGUUAAAAAGCUCGUAGUUGAAACUUGGGCCUGGCUGGCCGGUCCGCCUCACCGCGUGCACUGGUCCGGCCGGGCCUUUCCUUCUGGGGAGCCGCAUGCCCUUCAUUGGGUGUGUCGGGGAACCAGGACUUUUACUUUGAAAAAAUUAGAGUGUUCAAAGCAGGCCUAUGCUCGGAUACAUUAGCAUGGAAUAAUAGAAUAGGACGUGUGGUUCUAUUUUGUUGGU